GAUGAACGCUAGCGGAGGCUUAACACAUGCAAGUCGAGGGGCAGCAUAGGGUAGCAAUACUCUGAUGGCGACCGGCAAACGGGUGAGUAACGCGUAUGCAACCUACCCUGUACAGGGGGAUAACCCGGAGAAAUUCGGACUAAUAUCCCGUAAUAAUAUCCGGAGGCAUCUUUGGAUAUUUAAAGUUCCGACGGUACGGGAUGGGCAUGCGUAACAUUAGCUGGUUGGUAAGGUAACGGCUUACCAAGGCUAUGAUGUUUAGGGGUCCUGAGAGGGUGGUCCCCCACACUGGUACUGAGACACGGACCAGACUCCUACGGGAGGCAGCAGUGAGGAAUAUUGGUCAAUGGGCGCAAGCCUGAACCAGCCAUCCCGCGUGCAGGAAGACGGCCCUAUGGGUUGUAAACUGCUUUUCCAGGGAGAGAAACUUACGCACGUGUUGCGUGACUGACGGUACCCUGGGAAUAAGCAUCGGCUAACUCCGUG
RNAcentral lists this ribosomal RNA (486 nucleotides) under uncultured bacterium. RNAcentral's name for it is "bacterial SSU rRNA". It matches the Rfam family "Bacterial small subunit ribosomal RNA", at positions 28 to 507 of the family's 1533-position model. The record is from RNAcentral.